This is a long non-coding RNA of Helicoverpa armigera (cotton bollworm), 866 nucleotides long. RefSeq lists it as uncharacterized. NCBI's taxonomy places the organism in Eukaryota, Metazoa, Arthropoda, Insecta, Lepidoptera, Noctuidae. The transcript has 2 exons. The record is from RefSeq and is a predicted model, not a curated record.
AAGAGUAUUUAGCAAACUAAAGCUGAUAAAGACUGAACAUCGGAAUCGUCUCAAUACCGAAACUAUUGCUGCAUUAAUGGCUAUUAGUUCAUCUAUACAGCAACAAGAUUGAAAUGAAAACUAUUAACUUGCAUUGAGCAUGGGUGCAGGCUAAGUAUUAAGUAUUUUGGAAUGAAGCAAAGCAUAUCUACAAACGGAAUGACACAUAUCCAAACUAUUGGAGCUUCAAGCAUGUAUUAGCAAGUUAUUUAUUUAUAAACUCGUGGUAAGUCAAAUUAUUAUUUUACAAUUACAGUCUGUUGAGAAACUAAUAGAAAAUAAUGAGACUCAUACUUUCUUCGACUUUCUGUCACAUUUGACACUAAAAUAUGGACACAAAUUAUUUAGAUGGGAUUUUCUUAGUUCCUAAAACAUUAUUUUCAUAAUUUUUGACAAACAACUUGUUUUCGCUGUAGGAUAUGAGUAGACUAUAGCAUUUUUCAACAUUUUAGCAAAACCGUACUACUAUGAUAAAUUAUUAUCAAAAAAAUUUUUAAUUCACUGCAUCAUUAACGAAUAUAAUGACUUUACUCCUUUCCGUAACUCUAUAUUGAUUUAUAACCUCAUUUCUCUAAUUGAUUUACGAAUGAAUUUGUUCGAUAUUGGCAAUCGGUAAUAAUGUUCUACUUUACCAUAUCGUUCUGAACAUUCGAUUCCCUAUCGCUUUUUUUCCAACCUAUGGUCGCAGACAGCCAACUCGAAGAAAAAUAAAACUGAUCUAGUUCUUGCAGAAGUAUCCCGACCUAACCGUACCUUGAAGUUAAAAACCGUACCUUUUUAGAAAGCCAACCAUCCUUUUUUGGGAAAUCAUACUGGCAACACUGAUC